Equus caballus (horse) is the source of this 2543-nucleotide long non-coding RNA. Lineage: Eukaryota; Metazoa; Chordata; Mammalia; Perissodactyla; Equidae. The record is from Ensembl.
CAAACUAUCUGUUUGAAACGAUCUGUUUUGUGGGAACAAAACCAUGAGCCAGAUUCCUGGCCCUGGAGCAGAGAAGCUGUGAGGUCAGCCGUCUGAAGCUUUCCCUCUGAGAGAGGACCUCAGCACACACAGCCCCUAGGAGAAGACGGAGGAUGGAGCAGGACUCGGGGCUGCACUGGGGGAGGAUGAGGCAAAGGUUGGCAGGCUGAGGACACACUUCCUAUCUCAAUCCAGGUGGUAAGAACGGAGGUGGAACCAACCCUGGGCCAGCUUCCAGACUUCCCCCAGCUCUGCAAACAGUCACCAGAGGCUUCCGGAAUUUCUGUAUGCCACGGUCUCCGUGUUUACUGUUUCCUGCCUCUGCCUCGAGCACCCAGUCCUGCUGCGGCUGCUGCGUGGGACUUGGAAGAGAGGAUGGUGAUGCCUGUUUUCUUUCAAGGUUCAUCAAAGCCCACUCUCUCAGACUCGCCUAAAAAACUGACCAAAUCCCGAAAGGUUUACUUCAUGGCCCAGAACAACCUCUGAUGUCACAAGCACGGUAUUGGAGAGAGCCGAGCCAGCAUGCAGGCCAUAUUGAGUUUACCACCAAUCAGAGAUUCACACUUUCUGGUGGGAACAUCACGGGGGCCAGGAAGCUGCUGCGGGAGCUUUCCAAGACCUCCCCUCCACACCUCCACCUUGCUUAGAAGCGCUCUCAGCCUCACAGCUGCCGCGGCCCACCUAGCACAGCUGCUCUCUCCCCACUUCGCUGUGCUUUUGUCAUCCCUACCUGGGGCUUCCCUAUCCAGGGAGGCUGUGACAGAGCGAAAACGUGAUCAGCUCCCAAAACAGGCAGUUCGGAGAAGGCACCCGCUCAGUGUUUGCUCCCGUUGUGCAAAGGAUGAAGAACAGCUAAGGCACAAUGAGUGUGUCAGGAUACCACAACCCAUUCUGGGAUUUUGUAAAGAACCCCAAGGGAGACUCUUACCCUGUCACCUCGAGCGGCACCUCUGAACGCUGGGGCACCCGCAGUGUCCUGCUCUGCCGCCCGAUGCUUCGCCACGCCACUGAGCUCGGCAGAUGCAACGUGCUCUGCAGUCUUGGACCCCUGGCUUCCUUUCUGGCCGGGCUGACUCUACUGUGGGCAUGCAGCCUUCACAGCAAGACUCCGGCCCUGGCUGGCUCCUGCCUCAAAGUCACCCAGGCACCUGGGGCUGCCCCAACAGGAACCCCAUCUAAGGGCCUUUCUCACCCUUUCUUUCCCCACACCCGUUCUCAGGCUAACCACUGCUGCACACCAGCAAUUUCUGCGGCAUCCUCUCUCACCACUGGGCCACUCAUUCCUCCCAGGCAGAUGCUGAAGAGACAUUUGGCUCUGCAGCAGAAUGGCGCACUCCUAUAUUUAGCCACAUUGUGUAAUAUGUGACAAUAAUACUUUGUACUCAGGGUACACCUUUUAUCAGAGGAACUCCAUGCAGUCUGCAAACAUCCCCAGCACAAUACCCCUGGAGUGGAAGGAACCUGCCAAGUGUUGUGAUCUCAGUCUUACGGCUGGAGAGACUGGGUCCCAGGAAGGUGGGGCACGGCCAAGGCUUCCUAAGGAGUCAAGAGCCAGAAAAGGACCAUGGGCUGCUCCCCUAAGCCAGAUACGAGCAACUUCCCCAACCACGAGAACAGGGUGGAAGUGAUGGGGUGUGAUUCCACGGCCAGGGCAUACAAGGCAACGCAGCUUCCACCUCAUGCCUGCGAUUGCUCCCUCUGGGGGAAGCCAGCCUCCAUGCCCAGAGGACACUCAGCAGCCCUGCAGAGAAGGCCACGUGGGCAGGAGCUGAGGUCCCCGCCCCCAGCUACCAGCAGCUUCCCCGGGUGUGUGGGCGAGCCAUCUGAGGGGCGCUCUAUGGAUGCUCUAUGGAUGGAGAGCCCUGUCUGGUCUCCAGGUGACGGCAGCCCGCCCCAGCCAACUUCCGACUGCAACCAUUCGAGAGACCCCAGCCACUACUGUGCUGACCAGUUCUGCAUGGAACCUGACCAACUUCUCAGCAGCUUAAGCAUGCCUCCCACCCUAGCCAUGCAGGAGCAGUUUCCCAGUGCCUCACCCCCAGCCCGGGGCUUCUCUAUCAGGCUCUGCCCUGAGACACCAAGGGACCACACAGUGUCUACACAUGUGCAACCAGAAGUCAGGGGGAGUUACUGCCUGCAGGACAAACCUUUGACUGAUGGAAGACGGGAGCAAAUGGAUAGACUCUCCCUCCUCCUGCCCAUAGAAGAGCUUCCUGAGAUGCAAUCAUGCUGAUGGACAACAAGCAGGGGCCAGCUCCACUCUGUUAGGCACCUCUUCUCAGCUCUUCCUCUUCCCAGCCUCUCUCCCCGGUUCCCUCACUCUUCUCUCUUAACAGAGUAGCAGCUCACCGCGCCUCUGCCUCAGGCUCUGCUUUCUAGGGACGCCUGGCUGAGACAAAGCCAGCAUGCCCGAGGGUCUCUCCCUCCACCCACACACCCUCCCUUCUCUUCCCCAUUUCCUGGGGGCCAGCUGGGCCUGAGUGCAUCUGUCUUAGGAAGAUGUA